This 1245-nucleotide long non-coding RNA is filed under the name Mus musculus (house mouse). RNAcentral's name for it is "long non-coding RNA chr4:43588823-43590068". The record is from RNAcentral. Lineage: Eukaryota; Metazoa; Chordata; Mammalia; Rodentia; Muridae.
CAUUUCUAAACUGCUUUUUACCACAGCCUUUACCGUCUACUUGUGAUUAAAAUUCCUUCUCCAGAUACCAUAAAAGAUGUUUGUGUUUCUUUUUUAUUAUUAUUAUUAUUAUUUUUAAAAGCUCUUAGUGGCUGGAGAUACAGUUCAGUUGAUAACAUGCUUGCCUGACAUGCACAAGGCUCCUCCAGUAUCAUCCGGACUUGGUGGUGCGUGCUUGUAAUCCAGCCCUUGGGAGGUGGAAGCAGGAUGCUCAGAUAGGUUUUAAAUUCAUCUUCAUCUCCCUAGAGCUGCUUAGAUGAGUAAAACCUUGUUUCAAAAGAAAAAAAAAAGACAUUUUUAGAGUCAUAUUUCCUCUAAACUGUCCUGUCAAUGCUGUGUGUCCAGAAUUCCAGAAGAGCUCAUGAGUGAUAGUUAAAAGAUUGGCCUUUGUGGUCAGCACUGUGUAGAGAAUCCAUAAUUUUGGUGUUGGAUCCUAAAUUCCAUCCUAUAUGUGCAUGAAUGAUGUUAUAUUCACAUAUACAACAGCCCAAACACAAAUAUAUAAAAAUAUGUGUAUUUAAUGUAUCACAUUAGAGUCCAAGCAAAAUAUGUUUUGGGGAUGGGAGAUGACAUUGGCUAAAUUUAUAGCUACAAGUUUAGCAGCGAACCUCUUGGUCUUCUCUUAAGCCCAGAGAAUAGUGAAAGGAGAGUCAUUCUUUCCUGUGAACUUUCCUGAGGAGGCUGAGUUUCAGGGGGAAGAUGGCUGCUGAGGCAGUGGUGAAGGACGCAUCCUGGAGGUGGGCGCUGACUGGUAAGGAUGGAUAAUCGCUAUCUCCAAACAGCCCGCUAUUCUGACAGACUGUGAAAGGUCCUCUUGUAGCCCUGGUUGCAACUGUGAUCUGUCUGUUCAGACUCACUGAAGUUGGGUGUAGUGUGGUCUAAGACAGGAUGGCUACAAGUCUGAGGCUAGCCCAAACUGUAGAGUAGUUCCUGUCUCCAAAUAGAAGUUCUCAUGGAAGUUUCCCUCCUGUCUCUGCACCACUGGAGCCCUUCUUACCAGACUUUAUGUUAUUUUGCUUAUAAGUUACUACAUUCAUGGUAGUUCCUACCCCAGUAAUUAAUCACCAUUAAUAGUUAUUAUUAAUAACCAUUAAUUAUAACUAAUAACUAACCAGCAUUAGCCAUUAUUAACUUCUCUACUUAUCUCUGCUUUCUCUUCCUACCCUGCUGCAUAAUCUGAUUGUAAGAAUAAAGACUUAAAAUUCC